Bufo bufo (common toad) is the source of this 114-nucleotide long non-coding RNA. RefSeq lists it as uncharacterized. Lineage: Eukaryota; Metazoa; Chordata; Amphibia; Anura; Bufonidae. The transcript is spliced from 2 exons. The record is from RefSeq and is a predicted model, not a curated record.
AUGAUGUCAUUAAUAGGAGGAGCCAGAGCAGGAAGACUGUACAGCCGACACUGGUGUAGGGAGAUCAGCGCGGCGUGCUGGAGAUCUGGCGGUUUUACAUCUUUCACUAUAGAG